GUGUAGCUCAGUGGCAGAGCAUCUGUUCUGCAUGCAGAAGGUCCCAGGUUCAAUCCCUGGGAUCUGCA
This is a non-coding RNA of Podarcis lilfordi (Lilford's wall lizard), 68 nucleotides long. The record is from the annotation of a GenBank genome assembly. NCBI's taxonomy places the organism in Eukaryota, Metazoa, Chordata, Lepidosauria, Squamata, Lacertidae.